AAUGGGUCAGCGACUUAUAUUCUGUAGCAAGGUUAACCGAAUAGGGGAGCCGAAGGGAAACCGAGUCUUAACUGGGCGUUAAGUUGCAGGGUAUAGACCCGAAACCCGGUGAUCUAGCCAUGGGCAGGUUGAAGGUUGGGUAACACUAACUGGAGGACCGAACCGACUAAUGUUGAAAAAUUAGCGGAUGACUUGUGGCUGGGGGUGAAAGGCCAAUCAAACCGGGAGAUAGCUGGUUCUCCCCGAAAGCUAUUUAGGUAGCGCCUCGUGAAUUCAUCUCCGGGGGUAGAGCACUGUUUCGGCAAGGGGGUCAUCCCGACUUACCAACCCGAUGCAAACUGCGAAUACCGGAGAAUGUUAUCACGGGAGACACACGGCGGGUGCUAACGUCCGUCGUGAAGAGGGAAACAACCCAGACCGCCAGCUAAGGUCCCAAAGUCAUGGUUAAGUGGGAAACGAUGUGGGAAGGCCCAGACAGCCAGGAUGUUGGCUUAGAAGCAGCCAUCAUUUAAAGAAAGCGUAAUAGCUCACUGGUCGAGUCGGCCUGCGCGGAAGAUGUAACGGGGCUAAACCAUGCACCGAAGCUGCGGCAGCGACGCUUAUGCGUUGUUGGGUAGGGGAGCGUUCUGUAAGCCUGCGAAGGU
This 644-nucleotide ribosomal RNA is filed under the name Escherichia coli. RNAcentral's name for it is "partial 23S ribosomal RNA". It matches the Rfam family "Bacterial large subunit ribosomal RNA", at positions 614 to 1257 of the family's 2925-position model. Lineage: Bacteria; Pseudomonadati; Pseudomonadota; Gammaproteobacteria; Enterobacterales; Enterobacteriaceae. The record is from RNAcentral.